AACGCACAUUGCACCUACUGGCAUUCCGGUAGGUAUACCUGUUUGAGCGUCAGCAAGACAACUUUCGGCCGGUCUUUUCGGACCGGUACCGGUUAUGGGCUUUGGGGGGAAGGAGCUCCGUCUCUCUCCGGCUUUAAAACUGCUGUACGACCGCAAGCUAAUUCCGGCUAGGUUUAUGGAUUGGUGUUUACAUGUCUUCCGUUGCCUGCGGGACAUAUCGCUUCAGCGGCGUUAAACGUUAAGUUGCCAUGUCGGUGACUUGUGGUUUGACCUCAGAUCAGGUAAGGAUACCCGCUGAACUUAA
RNAcentral lists this unclassified non-coding RNA (304 nucleotides) under uncultured fungus. RNAcentral's name for it is "partial contains 5.8S ribosomal RNA, internal transcribed spacer 2, and large subunit ribosomal RNA". Lineage: Eukaryota; Fungi. The record is from RNAcentral.